This 600-nucleotide long non-coding RNA is filed under the name Betta splendens (Siamese fighting fish). RNAcentral describes it as "lncRNA (ENSBSLG00000009086.1)". The record is from RNAcentral. Lineage: Eukaryota; Metazoa; Chordata; Actinopteri; Anabantiformes; Osphronemidae.
AUGGAGAAUGAUCAGCAUUGCAAAGACAGCAUGACCACAUUCUCAAUGCGGAAGUGGGUCCCACCAGGCAGUCAGACAGGCUCCCUCUACUGCUCCAAGCAGGUUCCGGGAAGUUAUUCAGCGUCCCGCCCCCUGGUCUGCAAGACAGUGCCGAGGGCGGAAACGCCCAGUAUCUGUGUGUGCAGGCCACAGAAACAUGAAUUGCUGCAUCGUCCUUCUAAAGCUGCUGCUUCCUCUUUAAGAAGCCACUGACAUUUGAACUUCUCGAACGUCGCUGACUUCCCACUUUGAUCUCAGUCCAAGUCAGCUGGAGAGCAGGUUAGUCAUCCCUCCUCUGAGGUCACUGAGGAUGUUUACUAAUGCUGGAGCAUGCCUCAGGAACUAUUCACACACAUGGAUUGGUAGGGUUUCUGGCUGAAUUUAAAUUUUGUCUUUAUGUUAUAUUGUUUGUUGUGAACCAAGCAAAGCCAAACUCAAGACUUUAUGUGCCUGGCACAAAGGCACAGUUUGUAGCCAGACUGCAUGUCUGAGAGUCUGGGCGCAGACUGCAUGUCUGGAGUCAUGUCUGACUCUGCAUUUUAGGAAGUAACAGGGGCAGUG